This 253-nucleotide ribosomal RNA is filed under the name uncultured bacterium. Its description in RNAcentral is "partial 16S ribosomal RNA". It matches the Rfam family "Bacterial small subunit ribosomal RNA", at positions 524 to 776 of the family's 1533-position model. The record is from RNAcentral.
UACGAGUGCCUCAAGCGUUAUCCGGAAUCAUUGGGCGUAAAGGGUGUGUAGGUGGUCGCAUUAGUCUCUUGUUAAAUUCUUCGGCUUAACCGGGGGCAUGCAGGGGAAACGGUGCGACUAGAGGAUGCGAGGGGUCUGCGGAACUCAUAGUGUAGCGGUGAAAUGCGUUGAUAUUAUGGGGAACACCAAAAGCGAAGGCAGCAGACUGGAGCACUCCUGACACUGAAACACGAAAGCGUGGGUAGCGAAUGGG